This 492-nucleotide ribosomal RNA is filed under the name uncultured bacterium. Its description in RNAcentral is "partial 16S ribosomal RNA". It matches the Rfam family "Bacterial small subunit ribosomal RNA", at positions 29 to 507 of the family's 1533-position model. The record is from RNAcentral.
AGUGAACGCUGGCGGUAGGCCUAACACAUGCAAGUCGAACGGCAGCACAGUAAGAGCUUGCUCUUACGGGUGGCGAGUGGCGGACGGGUGAGGAAUACAUCGGAAUCUACUUUUUCGUGGGGGAUAACGUAGGGAAACUUACGCUAAUACCGCAUACGACCUACUGGUGAAAGCAGGGGAUCUUCGGACCUUGCGCGAUUGAAUGAGCCGAUGUCGGAUUAGCUAGUUGGCGGGGUAAAGGCCCACCAAGGCGACGAUCCGUAGCUGGUCUGAGAGGAUGAUCAGCGACACUGGAACUGUGACACGGUCCAGACUCCUACGGGAGGCAGCAGUGGGGAAUAUUGGACAAUGGGCGCAAGCCUGAGCCAGCCAUACCGCAUGGGUGAAGAAGGCCUUCGGGUUGUAAAGCCCUUUUGUUGGGAAAGAAAAGCAGCAGGUUAAUACCCCGCUGUUCUGACGGUACCCAAAGAAUAAGCACCGGCUAACUUCGUG